This 72-nucleotide transfer RNA is filed under the name Stathmonotus gymnodermis. RNAcentral's name for it is "tRNA-Thr". It matches the Rfam family "tRNA". From Rfam's summary of the family: Transfer RNA (tRNA) molecules are approximately 80 nucleotides in length. Their secondary structure includes four short double-helical elements and three loops (D, anti-codon, and T loops). The record is from RNAcentral. Lineage: Eukaryota; Metazoa; Chordata; Actinopteri; Blenniiformes; Labrisomidae.
GCAUGAGUAGCUCAGUGUUAGAGCCCCGGUCUUGUAAGCCGAAUGCCGAAGGUUAGAGUCCUUCCUCUUGCU